GAGCAUGUAACUCAGUGGAUAGAGUGCCAAAUUCCGACUUUGGUGGCCGAAGGUUCAAAUCCUUCCUUGCUCA
RNAcentral lists this transfer RNA (73 nucleotides) under Dipterocladia arabiensis. RNAcentral describes it as "tRNA-Arg". It matches the Rfam family "tRNA". From Rfam's summary of the family: Transfer RNA (tRNA) molecules are approximately 80 nucleotides in length. Their secondary structure includes four short double-helical elements and three loops (D, anti-codon, and T loops). The record is from RNAcentral. Lineage: Eukaryota; Rhodophyta; Florideophyceae; Ceramiales; Dasyaceae.